AAUGGGCGAAAGCCUGACCCAGCAACGCCGCGUGAAGGAAGAAGGCUUUCGGGUUGUAAACUUCUUUUGGCAGGGACGAAGAAAGUGACGGUACCUGCAGAAUAAGCUCCGGCUAACUACGUGCCAGCAGCCGCGGUAAUACGUAGGGAGCGAGCGUUAUCCGGAUUUACUGGGUGUAAAGGGCGCGUAGGCGGGAAUGCAAGUCAGAUGUGAAAUCUCCGGGCUCAACCCGGAAACUGCAUUUGAAACUGUAUUUCUUGAGUGAUGGAGAGGCAAGUGGAAUUCCUAGUGUAGCGGUGAAAUGCGUAGAUAUUAGGAGGAACACCAGUGGCGAAGGCGACUUGCUGGACAUUAACUGACGCUGAGGCGCGAAAGCGUGGGGAGCAAA
This 388-nucleotide ribosomal RNA is filed under the name uncultured bacterium. Its description in RNAcentral is "bacterial SSU rRNA". It matches the Rfam family "Bacterial small subunit ribosomal RNA", at positions 370 to 772 of the family's 1533-position model. The record is from RNAcentral.